UUCUGUGGGCAGAGUCCACCACGAAAUCAAAUAAAUGUUCUUAUGUUGCAGCCUUGCAGAACAUUCCCGACGGGAAUAAUGCAACACUUGUGUUGAUGUUAGAGUUCAUGACAGCGACGCACAGGCCGGACCACAGCUGUCUUAACAGAUGUCUCAUUGUUUUUACAAGUUACAAGUGUUUGGUUUUACACAUCUGUACUGAGUCCCUCUGUAGUGAUCGCAUUCUGGGACAACUGGUGGAUCAUUAACCUGCAUAAACACCGACUUUAGCCCGGGAGUUGUGAAAUGCCACAAAAGCAGCUCUGUUGGCACUUGCCCUUUGGUAUCAGCUGUUGACACAAAUAUUGUCCACCAGAAGCAGAGCUGAUCUUUGAUUUAACGAUCGGAUCCGGAGCCCAUUAAUGUGACAUCAACACUCAAAGUACUUUAAAUCCAUCCAAUUGCUUCAUGUUCCUCUUCCAUGGGACCCCGAGGUGUUCCCAGGCCAGACGAGAUGUUCUAUCUUCCCGGUGGGUUCCAGAUCUUCCCCUGGGGCCUGUUUUCAUUUGGGCAAACCCAAGGUUCUCUACAGGGAGACGUCCCGGAGGCUUCCAGAUCAGAUAAAGGGGCCCUCUCGGCUGGGACCUUUGGAUGUGAAAGAGCAGCACCUCCUCAACCGUCUCUCAGGUUGAGCCCUCCUACGUGAGAAGCUCAUUUCGCUUUGAGUUCUGAUCUGCUGAAAUGCAACUUCAACGGAACUGUCAAUCUCCAUUUUACCUUCACUCCCAAGGUUCUUGAUCUCAGCGACUCACUCCCAACCUGAAGGAUUUGACCUGGAAGUACAGACUCCUUAGAGCUCUCUUUACCUCGCUCCACAAUAUCUAUCACAUAAACAAUGUCUUCUGCUUUUUAACCAAAGACCCCCGCACUCCUUUACAAGAUGUUUCAAGGAAAUGCAACCUCAUCAAAAACAUUAAAAAAGUAUAAGUAUUGGACAGGUCUGCUUUUAAGUAGUUUUCACAAGAAAGCUAAACAUUUAAUUCGAAGUGGUUUUCAUCAUGAAACCUCCAUUUAUUAAAACAAUGACGCUGAUUGCAUGAGCUGACUUUUUGAAUGACUACAGACACUGUGGUCGUGCUUUUAAAGUUAGAAUAAAGAACCUCUUCAUGUUGGCCUUAGAUUGUGUCCCUGAAUAACCAAGUUUUACUUGCUUCGGGAAUGUGUUAUCGAUGGAUUUAUUCAUUUGGGUAAAUUAGUAAUGCAAAGAAUGGAACCACAGCUCUCAUUAAAAUCUAAAUGAAUGAAUACAUUAAAUGAGCUUCAAUGUUUGUCCCUCUACUUUUUAGUUUAAGUUUAACAUGUUGUUUUCUUGUCUAAAAAGUAGAUCAUUUGAAAAUAUUCCUAAUGAAUUAAUUAUUUAUCAUCUAUUAUAAAAAUCUAGUUUUAUCUUAGAACUUUAUAAGGAAUUUAAAAUGAAUGAAUUGCAGCCAUUCCAUUGCAGUGUUCCUUUAUUCGAUUCACUCAGUACAUUCAGAAGUUCUUCUUUUCUUAAUUCGAGAUACUGAUGCAAACACAGGAUGCACAUUCAAAACAAUGUUUUUAAUAUCGUUUUAACA
This is a long non-coding RNA of Pungitius pungitius (ninespine stickleback), 1595 nucleotides long. RefSeq lists it as uncharacterized. Lineage: Eukaryota; Metazoa; Chordata; Actinopteri; Perciformes; Gasterosteidae. The transcript is spliced from 2 exons. The record is from RefSeq and is a predicted model, not a curated record.